Molecule: ribosomal RNA, 253 nt
Filed under: uncultured bacterium
Lineage: Bacteria
Description: partial 16S ribosomal RNA
Rfam family: Bacterial small subunit ribosomal RNA
Source: RNAcentral
UACGUAGGGUGCAAGCGUUGUCCGGAAUUAUUGGGCGUAAAGAGCUCGUAGGCGGUUUGUCGCGUCUGCUGUGAAAUCCCAGGGCUUAACCCUGGGCCUGCAGUGGGUACGGGCAGACUAGAGUGCGGUAGGGGUGACUGGAAUUCCUGGUGUAGCGGUGGAAUGCGCAGAUAUCAGGAGGAACACCGAUGGCGAAGGCAGGUCACUGGGCCGCAACUGACGCUGAGGAGCGAAAGCAUGGGGAGCGAACAGG